This 747-nucleotide ribosomal RNA is filed under the name Bacillus altitudinis. RNAcentral's name for it is "bacterial SSU rRNA". It matches the Rfam family "Bacterial small subunit ribosomal RNA", at positions 51 to 781 of the family's 1533-position model. The record is from RNAcentral. Lineage: Bacteria; Bacillati; Bacillota; Bacilli; Caryophanales; Bacillaceae.
AUACAUGCAAGUCGAGCGGACAGAAGGGAGCUUGCUCCCGGAUGUUAGCGGCGGACGGGUGAGUAACACGUGGGUAACCUGCCUGUAAGACUGGGAUAACUCCGGGAAACCGGAGCUAAUACCGGAUAGUUCCUUGAACCGCAUGGUUCAAGGAUGAAAGACGGUUUCGGCUGUCACUUACAGAUGGACCCGCGGCGCAUUAGCUAGUUGGUGAGGUAACGGCUCACCAAGGCGACGAUGCGUAGCCGACCUGAGAGGGUGAUCGGCCACACUGGGACUGAGACACGGCCCAGACUCCUACGGGAGGCAGCAGUAGGGAAUCUUCCGCAAUGGACGAAAGUCUGACGGAGCAACGCCGCGUGAGUGAUGAAGGUUUUCGGAUCGUAAAGCUCUGUUGUUAGGGAAGAACAAGUGCAAGAGUAACUGCUUGCACCUUGACGGUACCUAACCAGAAAGCCACGGCUAACUACGUGCCAGCAGCCGCGGUAAUACGUAGGUGGCAAGCGUUGUCCGGAAUUAUUGGGCGUAAAGGGCUCGCAGGCGGUUUCUUAAGUCUGAUGUGAAAGCCCCCGGCUCAACCGGGGAGGGUCAUUGGAAACUGGGAAACUUGAGUGCAGAAGAGGAGAGUGGAAUUCCACGUGUAGCGGUGAAAUGCGUAGAGAUGUGGAGGAACACCAGUGGCGAAGGCGACUCUCUGGUCUGUAACUGACGCUGAGGAGCGAAAGCGUGGGGAGCGAACAGGAUUAG